CGUUGGAUAAAUCUAUGACCUGCCAUAUUCUCUCCAAAAAAUAGAAGGGUUAAUUUCAGCUAGCAAACAAGCUCAGCCAGGUCCUGUAUCUCAUCCACCCCAUCAGUAAUAUCUCACAUCAUUCCAGCAAUCUCAAGAAUUACUCCAACUGAGUCACAUUCUGGAAAUGUGUUUGGACUAUUCAGCGUGGCUCUCAUGAUGACCUUAGUGUUCUCAUAAUUAGAGAUACUGAAGACCUUACCUUCUCUGCCAUGUGAGGAUACAGGAUGAAGGUGUCACCUGCAAGCCAG
Molecule: long non-coding RNA, 290 nt
Filed under: Homo sapiens (human)
Lineage: Eukaryota; Metazoa; Chordata; Mammalia; Primates; Hominidae
Description: HSALNT0317102
Source: RNAcentral